AAGGGUUAACUCGAGGAUGGUGUUGAACAGGGAGGGUGAUGGUACAAGAAAUGGUCAUCAUGUUGAAGGAAUCAGGUGUUAUUCAAGUCAAUUAAAUAUGCUUUUUAUAAAUCCUUCUUUAAUCUCAUUUCCAAUCAAAGAGGCGAUCUGGAGUUCAUGUUGAAGAGGCUAAACAGUUAAGGCAUCAACCAUAAAUCGAGAAGUCACAAUCGGUUCACCAGAUUCCGAUGGGAUUUUAGUUCUCCUCGAUGCUUCAUUAAGAGAGAAACUAAUGAAGAUUAUGAGAUCGGAUUUCUGUAAAAUAGUGCCAGAGAUGAUAACAUCUAUUGUUGCUGCUGGAAAUUAUGCAAUCCAGGUUCCUGUGCUGGUGGAAAGACAGUUACUCCACCCGAACAUAUGGUACAUUAUCUAUUAGUUUGAUUGAUUUAUAGAACUGGGGUUGAUUUUGGCGUGUGCUAUGUAUGUGUAAUCAUGCUCAUUUGAAAUUGUUAGCUACGUUGUCUAAUAAUGCUCAUCUAAAAUUGUUAGCGUCAUUGUUAAAGUUUGAUGAUCUUGGGGAUAUGGUGUCAGCUUUACCAAGAUCAACAGACGAUGGGAUUUAUCGCACAAUCGACAUACAUCUUAACGUCAAUUUUGAGUUACCAAUUUUUCGUUUCUUUGCUGGAUUUGCCUAAUCAAA
This 679-nucleotide long non-coding RNA is filed under the name Helianthus annuus (common sunflower). The record is from RNAcentral. Lineage: Eukaryota; Viridiplantae; Streptophyta; Magnoliopsida; Asterales; Asteraceae.